RNAcentral lists this ribosomal RNA (468 nucleotides) under uncultured bacterium. Its description in RNAcentral is "partial 16S ribosomal RNA". It matches the Rfam family "Bacterial small subunit ribosomal RNA", at positions 28 to 507 of the family's 1533-position model. The record is from RNAcentral.
GACGAACGCUGGCGGCGUGCUUAACACAUGCAAGUCGAACGGUGAUGCUCCAGCUUGCUGGAGUGGAUCAGUGGCGAACGGGUGAGUAACACGUGAGCAACCUGCCCCAGACUCUGGAAUAAGCGCUGGAAACGGCGUCUAAUACUGGAUACGAAACUGGCCCGCAUGGGCAUGGUUUGGAAAGUUGUUCGGUUUGGGAUGGGCUCGCGGCCUAUCAGCUUGUUGGUGAGGUAAUGGCUCACCAAGGCGACGACGGGUAGCCGGCCUGAGAGGGCGACCGGCCACACUGGGCCUGAGACACGGCCCAGACUCCUACGGGAGGCAGCAGUGGGGAAUAUUGCACAAUGGGCGAAAGCCUGAUGCAGCGACGCCGCGUGGGGGAUGACGGCCUUCGGGUUGUAAACCUCUUUCAGCAGGGAAGAAGCGAAAGUGACGGUACCUGCAGAAGAAGCACCGGCUAACUACGUG